AACUAACGCUGGCGGCGUGCCUAACACAUGCAAGUCGUACGAGAAAGCCGGCUUCGGCUGGUGAGUAAAGUGGCGCACGGGUGAGUAACGCGUGGAUAAUCUGCCCUUAAGUGUGGAAUAACGUACCGAAAGGUGCGCUAAUACCGCAUAAUGCCUGGCAACACAAGUUGUCCGGCCAAAGAAGGCCUCUGUUUACAAGCUUUCGCUUCAGGAUGAGUCCGCGUACCAUUAGCUUGUUGGUGGGGUAAUGGCCUACCAAGGCUGCGAUGGUUAGCUGGUCUGAGAGGAUGAUCAGCCACACUGGAACUGAGACACGGUCCAGACUCCUACGGGAGGCAGCAGUGAGGAUAUUGCGCAAUGGGGCAACCCUGACGCAGCAACGCCGCGUGAGUGAGGAAGGUUUUCGGACUGUAAAGCUCUGUCGAGCGGGAAGAAGUGUACCAUGGCUAAUAUCCAUGAUAUUUGACGGUACCGCUAGAGG
RNAcentral lists this ribosomal RNA (481 nucleotides) under uncultured bacterium. RNAcentral describes it as "bacterial SSU rRNA". It matches the Rfam family "Bacterial small subunit ribosomal RNA", at positions 29 to 487 of the family's 1533-position model. The record is from RNAcentral.